CCUACGGGUGGCUGCAGUGGGGAAUAUUGGACAAUGGGCGAAAGCCUGAUCCAGCCAUGCCGCGUGUGUGAAGAAGGCCUUCGGGUUGUAAAGCACUUUCAGUGGGGAAGAAAGCCUUGGGGCUAAUACCCUCGAGGAAGGACAUCACCCACAGAAGAAGCACCGGCUAACUCCGUGCCAGCAGCCGCGGUAAUACGGAGGGUGCGAGCGUUAAUCGGAAUUACUGGGCGUAAAGCGCGCGUAGGCGGUCUGAUAAGCCGGUUGUGAAAGCCCCGGGCUCAACCUGGGAACGGCAUCCGGAACUGUCAGGCUAGAGUGCAGAAGAGGAAGGUAGAAUUCCCGGUGUAGCGGUGAAAUGCGUAGAGAUCGGGAGGAAUACCAGUGGCGAAGGCGGCCUUCUGGACUGACACUGACGCUGAGGUGCGAAAGCGUGGGUAGCAAACAGGAUUAGAUACCCGGGUAGUC
Molecule: ribosomal RNA, 465 nt
Filed under: Vreelandella stevensii
Lineage: Bacteria; Pseudomonadati; Pseudomonadota; Gammaproteobacteria; Oceanospirillales; Halomonadaceae
Description: partial 16S ribosomal RNA
Rfam family: Bacterial small subunit ribosomal RNA
Source: RNAcentral